GACGAACGCUGGCGGCGUGCUUAACACAUGCAAGUCGAACGGAAAGGCCCUGCUUUUGUGGGGUGCUCGAGUGGCGAACGGGUGAGUAACACGUGAGUAACCUGCCCUUGACUUUGGGAUAACUUCAGGAAACUGGGGCUAAUACCGGAUAGGAGCUCCUGCUGCAUGGUGGGGGUUGGAAAGUUUCGGCGGUUGGGGAUGGACUCGCGGCUUAUCAGCUUGUUGGUGGGGUAGUGGCUUACCAAGGCUUUGACGGGUAGCCGGCCUGGGAGGGUGACCGGCCACAUGGGGACUGCGGUACGGCCCAGACUCCUACGGGAGGCAGCAGUGGGGAAUAUUGCACAACGGGCGGAAGCCUGAUGCAGCAACGCCGCGUGCGGGAUGACGUCCUUCGGGUGGUAAACCGCUUUCGCCGGUGACGAAGCGUGAGUGACGGUAAUGGGUAAAGAAGCACCGGCUAACUACGUG
This 468-nucleotide ribosomal RNA is filed under the name uncultured bacterium. RNAcentral describes it as "partial 16S ribosomal RNA". It matches the Rfam family "Bacterial small subunit ribosomal RNA", at positions 28 to 507 of the family's 1533-position model. The record is from RNAcentral.